GUUCGAGCGUGGGAAGAGUGGUAAAUUUAGUCGAGUGGUUAUUAGAACGUGGCGUGAAGAAUAUAGUAUUAUCUACGUCGGAUGCAAAUGACAACAGAGAGGCAGUACGAGCGAUUAAUAAUGCCACUUCGAGGCAUGAGGCAACGCUACUAAUGACAUCAGCAAAGGCUGCCCACACACCUGCUGGCGUGGAGAAUAUACUAAACCAAGCUAAAAGACUUGGGGAAAUAUCAACGAUAUUUACAGUUUCAAUGGAUACAAAAGACUCCAUCUUACCAGUAAUUCAGAAGUAUAUGAAAAAUUUCCUUAAUGACUACACGCUGAUAAAUAUACAAGGUGAAACGUGGACGCAUGAGAUCAAAAAUAUGGUGACGAUCGUAUGUGACGACGAUGUGAGCUAUUGCAGCGUUCUGAGCCAGGCUUUGACCGAUUGUAAUAAACCAGCAACUUACGUCGUUUCAAGCAAAAGCGGCUGUACAAGAAACGAGUCUGUUAUUGGUGUGAAAGAGUCGAUGACAAACUAUCUACCUUCUUCUUUGCAAGAAUUAGAGGAAAUGGGAGAAUUUUUGUCACUGGGACUCCAGGUUGAGCCUACAGGUUCCUGCUACAUUCAUACAGACUACAUCGUUAGCAACUAACAUGCCAUACAAACACGGAGACGUCCUUCCUGUGUUCAUCAUCCCAGCGUUUUGCGAAACGCAGCUGAGACCUCUACUUUCCAAAUUCAUGUACCCCUGCUACACUGCUCACACACAUCCCGAAGCAAAUUCAGCACGACAAAUCGCAGAGCAUCUAUUCUCGUCUAUGACGAGAGUCCAAACGAAAGGACCUUACACGAUAGUAGCAGAAACGUGGAGUGGUGGGGUAGCGAUGCUUCUCGCAAAUCUUCUGACUGAUGCCAACCAUGAAGUAUCCCUCUUUUUACUACAAGGAUUUCCGAGAAAGAUGUAUUCUCUGUUACCUCAAGAAAAAUCUAUAGCUGAUUGCCUGUUGGAGGUUUUGUUGGAACUAAUUGAAAAAGAGGAUCCGAACAAAAUGAUGGAGCUCAAUGGUACUAAAGGGUUCAAAACAGCAAUGCAACUGAUUUCGAAUAAAUUCAACAGAAGUUUUGUCUCGCGGGCGUUCCAUACUAUUGAAAGGAAUUUAGAACUCGUGAAGAGUCUCUCGAAUCGGAAGAUUUCUUUACAGAGUGCUUUAGUUCUUAUGGAAGUAAGCCAAACCUGCAAGCUGACAUCUGAUGAAGUUGAAGAGGUGUCAAAGAACUGCCAGCUGGUCAAAAUCGACUGUGGGAACCACAAAGAGAUGCUUUCACAUCCCCGCACCGCGAAGCUGAUUGCAGAGGAAGCUCCAUUCUCUUGGUGACGUGUGACUCUCAACAUAAAAAGACAAGAUGGAGAAAAAUCAUGAGAUGCUGUAUAGACUAGAAUAUGACUAUAAUAGGCAUAAUAAGCAGGCAUCACGAUGAUAUGCUAUUGUCAAAAUGUCGCUCUUAGGAAUCAAUGAAGAAUUCGCAAAUAGCUAGGAUUUGCUGACUUCUCUCCAUCCACUGACAGUAAAAUGGAUCAAAUUCACACUUUUCAGUAAACUAAGAAAAAACAUUUUCUCAGUUUUUCAAUUGAACAAUAAUUGUAGGAUUUAUGACGGGUUAAUCAAGUCUGCAAAUGCACUUUCUUACAUAGAAAACUCAGCUUUAUGACGUCAAAAAGCGUAAAAUGUUCUAUGUUAAAACUCUAUUCGCCUUCACUUUACCACAUCAGAAAAAAUAAAUAAAAAUAUUGUGCAUUUGGUUUAUCCAGUAGUUUCACACGAAGCAACCGCAUUUUCUCGUGCAAAUUUUCCAUUGGCUCAAAAAUAAAGUAUAGAAUUGUAAUUUUUCAUAAAUUUAGUUUUGUACAAAAAUUUCUUGUAUUUCCUGAUAUUUCUUAUUAUUUCUGUACGUAAAAUUCAGACUCACAAGAUGUGAUAAAGAUAAUGUGUGUCUUUUGAAAUUUCACUGAAACAUAAAAUCAUUUGUGAAAUUUAGAGGGAGAACUACUUUUAACCGUAUUAUAUGUAUGUCGCAGGCAAUUAGCAAUCUCCGGCAAUUUGCAAGCGGUUCACGCGUUUUUUCAAUAAAUCGCACUUCAAAAAUGAUGCGCAUCGGCAUAAUGCAAUUUUCACGGGUUAUGGUCCUCAAAAGUAUGGGCUCGGCUUGAAUCGCCUUCAUUUUUUGUGAUACUCUACGUUUUGUCACGAAGUUAGUUUAGUUGCCUGUCCGAUCUUAACCCAACUAAUGUCACAGAGUUCAAUACACGCUCUUCUAAGUGUGCAUAUUCCUGACAUGUUUUUAAGGAUGGAAAAGUGUCUAUUCACAUUACAGGCAAUAUAAUCAGCACCCUAAUCUCGUUCCUUUAUUUUUGAAUUUUAUGAUUUCCUAUAUUUAUCCACCACCAGCUUGUAAAUUGCCGGCGAUUGCUAAUUGCCUGCGACAUGUAUACACAGAAUUUCCCUCUGAGUUUUUCUUAUUUUUCAAAAUCAAAUAUGACGAACAGCCUAUCAAAGAGGAUGGAAAAUAUACUCUCUUUAUGUAUUUUGUUGGAUUCAUGUUCCAAAUUUGAGCUUUAAUUCAUGAA
Molecule: long non-coding RNA, 2612 nt
Filed under: Bemisia tabaci
Lineage: Eukaryota; Metazoa; Arthropoda; Insecta; Hemiptera; Aleyrodidae
Description: lncRNA ENSSSA3NGG011668
Source: RNAcentral